ACAAGCCUCUCUCCUCCCUCUCCUCCUUUCUUCCUGCUCCUUCCUGCCUCCCCCCCCCACUUCCCCUCUUUCUCCUCCUCCUCCUUUUUUUUUGCUAGUACUUAAGGUUUUCACCUCUUUACCCAAAGGGUCAGUUUUUGAGCUGUGCCUUCUCCACGUCCCCACCUUUGAUUCUGGGAUCAGCUGGCAUGGCUUGCUCGGGAUCAGAAUUCUGCGAUCGGCUUUAAGUCACGGACGCAUGAUGACUUCAGGUUCAGUGAUGCUGGCUUUCAGCAGUGAUCCUCCCAGUGCGGUUCCCGGCCGACGGCAUCAGCUCCAACCAAGAGCCGGUUAGAGAUGCAAGCUCCAGGCUGCGUGCAAACCAGCCGAACCAGCAGCUCCGGUCUGCGCCAAGCCCUCUGCUGUCAUAAGCCCACCGGGUGGGUCUGACACUUGCUCGGACACCCUGGCUUUUGUGAGACCCGUGGGGAAGUCUGAGGCCCAGAGGAGAGGUGGGUAAGUUGCUCUAAAAGAGACAAAGUAGCCCCACCUGGUCUGUGAGGGCGGAAGGGCAGCGCUCAGGAGGGGAGAGCUUCCCGGGAGAGCGGCGGACCCUGGAGGCAGCCUGCGACCACAGGCGAUUCCAGGGCAGGAUCGUGGGGCCCCAGGAGCUGCUGGGACAGCGCCAGCCAAGAGUGAGGAGCACCGCUGAGGCCACGCCCCGCGACCCCUGCGGAACAGCGGGACCUGCCCACCAGUCAAGGACCCUGCAGGGCAGAGCAGGGAGCAGAGACCACGAGCUGCCCUGACAGAGAAGCCAUGUCGUCUGAGGCCCGGACUCCAGAUUGUUGUGAGUCAAAGAACCUAAGGGACGAAAAUAAUCAUAACUCAGGGCCUGCACUGGCGUCUGGAAAUACUCGAAAUGGGCUCUCCGGGGGCUCUGGAGGCACGGUGGUGCUGGAACUUGAAAGGGCAGCAGCAUUAGCUGGAGGGCUCCUUCACACAGAUCCCCGGCCCCAUACCCAGUCUGGGGUGGGGCCCGAGAACCUGCAUUUCUAACGCAGUCCCCUUGCUGCUGGUCUGGGGGCCACAGUCUGAGACCCUCCACUCUAGAUGGUGGGGUUUGGUCUGUUGCAGAGUGCACAAUUUUUAAAAAAAUCAUCUAAGCUCCUAAUAAAAUGUUCCUGUACUAAAUGACAGGCACCAUCCUGUGUAACACGUAGCACACCCACAUAGGCGUGAGGAGUGAGCCCUUCUCUCUCAGGAGCCCUGCUACUGAGAGCCAGGAUUUGCCGGAAGCCAUCAGUGGGGCUCACCUGGUCCAAUUGGUGCCUAGUGCCUGGAGCUUUGUAAAGGCAGCAAAAGAGUUUGUUGAGAAUGUCCUGUUCUCUAGCUCCAAGAUACAAUUAGAAUCAGUUGAUGAUCGUUAUUUAAAAUAUGGCUGCCUGUGUGUAGGUGGUAAUCAAAUACCCCAGCAGGCUCUGACGCUGACUUCCUGCCCCUUAGCACAUCGAGUUACAGAAGUUGUGCUGUUCUGCCCUGUUCAGGUCUCUCCUCUACUCUUGUAUUUUAUUUUUGGGGGAUUGAGGCCAGGACCUCAUGCAUGCUAAGCACGAGCUCUACCUCUGAACUGUGCCUUCCCUCCUCCUCUACUCUUUUAAAUAGUCCUCGUCGUCGUCUGUGUCUCAAGCUUGCUUUCCGUAGAGGUCUGCUGGGGGCGGCGCCUUAUUUUUCUCGCCAGGUGGAGAUGUGCUCAUCACGAUGGCUGUCACUGAAAGUGCUCUUAAGAAAGCUCUUCUGUUUCAGGACUGCAAGCUUGCAAACUGCAUUUUCAGCCUUCGCUGCCAGCUGAAUUCCACUUAAGUCUGCCAACUGGAGGCAUUCACAGAAACCAGCAAGAGUGAAAAGACAGAAGCUGUUCUGUUUCUGGCAGGCCCUUUAUCAGCGCCAAUGCCAUGCACUCCAGCUCAGUGAUAGCAGAGGGUGAUUGUCAGCUCCCACAAUCGUGCCAACAGUUCCAACACCACCAGCA
Long non-coding RNA from Camelus dromedarius (Arabian camel), 2011 nucleotides. RefSeq lists it as uncharacterized. The record is from RefSeq and is a predicted model, not a curated record. NCBI's taxonomy places the organism in Eukaryota, Metazoa, Chordata, Mammalia, Artiodactyla, Camelidae. The transcript is spliced from 3 exons.